This 825-nucleotide long non-coding RNA is filed under the name Equus caballus (horse). Its description in RNAcentral is "lncRNA (ENSECAG00000046396.1)". The record is from RNAcentral. Lineage: Eukaryota; Metazoa; Chordata; Mammalia; Perissodactyla; Equidae.
CCUCCAGAACUCAGUGCUCAUGCUUGCUGUGCGCAGUUUUAAGCGUUCCUCCAUCCACAGCUAGGACUCCGAUGGGUGCAUCUGCGAUCAGUCCUUGGUGCUGCGGAGAGAGUGAAGGUUUGGAUACACAGGUCCCACCAGCAGUGACAUGACAUGAUUUGUGGCUCUGCACCUCGUUGCCCUCAUCGAAGAUAGUCAGGAGACCCUAGAAAGAUGCCAUUCACACCCUGGAGUGCUGUGGGCCAUGCAAGAGCAGCUGGACACAGGAGCAGCUUCCUGCCUAGACCCGGGCCGCUUCCCCAGAAAGAGGAACCAGCAGUGGUGGCUGGAGCGUCUGGCGGCGAUAAAAGGUUCUGCCUUCAGGGUUUUUUUGGCCUUAUUUUCUGUUUAAAGAAGGCAUAUUUUCUUCCUUUUAUUUUAUACAUAGGCAGCCUUACAGCAGGAGGCAAACGAGUAGACAGCAGACAAAUCUAUAUGAUGUAAUUCUGAUUGGAAAGAGCAGGGCAUAGCUCUUUUCCAAGGAGACUUGCUGCCACCGAUCAGCCGUGAGAGCGUGGACAAGCCAUUUCAUCUCUCUGGACCUCGGCCUCCUUAUUUGCUCAGGUAAAGGCAGAGUUUGAAGACCGGAAGAAUCAAGUCAGUCAGGUUUGGAUGUAGAGUAUGGUCAGCUCAAAUGGUCCUUAUACUGGGUAUGAAUAUUUGUCAGUAAAGUGGCACUGUGGUUGGGAGAAAAUGUGAAACUAAUAUGGGAGAGCAGAGAGGAGCCUGACGCACAGAUCAGGCGAGUACUCCUGUUCAACUCGUGAUGCUUCGCUUCAAAUACUA